GUAGGUGGCAAGCGUUGUCCGGAAUUAUUGGGCGUAAAGCGCGCGCAGGCGGUUCUUUAAGUCUGUUGUGAAAGCCCACGGCUCAACCGUGGAGGGUCAUUGGAAACUGGAGAACUUGAGUACAGAAGAGGAAAGCGGAAUUCCACGUGUAGCGGUGAAAUGCGUAGAGAUGUGGAGGAACACCAGUGGCGAAGGCGGCUUUCUGGUCUGUAACUGACGCUGAGGCGCGAAAGCGUGGGGAGCAAACAGGGAUUAGAUACCCUGGUAGUCCACGCCGUAAACGAUGAGUGCUAAGUGUUAGGGGGGUUUCCCGCCCCCUUAGUGCUGCAGCUAACGCAUUAAGCACUCCGCCUGGGGAGUACGGCCGCAAGGCUG
This 375-nucleotide ribosomal RNA is filed under the name uncultured organism. RNAcentral describes it as "partial 16S ribosomal RNA". It matches the Rfam family "Bacterial small subunit ribosomal RNA", at positions 527 to 896 of the family's 1533-position model. The record is from RNAcentral.